GAUGAACGCUGGCGGCGUGCCUAAUACAUGCAAGUCGAGCGAACAGACGAGGAGCUUGCUCCUCUGACGUUAGCGGCGGACGGGUGAGUAACACGUGGAUAACCUACCUAUAAGACUGGGAUAACUUCGGGAAACCGGAGCUAAUACCGGAUAAUAUAUUGAACCGCAUGGUUCAAUAGUGAAAGACGGUUUUGCUGUCACUUAUAGAUGGAUCCGCGCCGCAUUAGCUAGUUGGUAAGGUAACGGCUUACCAAGGCAACGAUGCGUAGCCGACCUGAGAGGGUGAUCGGCCACACUGGAACGGAGACACGGACCAGACUCCUACGGGAGGCAGCAGUAGGGAAGCUUCCGAAAUGGGCGAAAGCUUGACGGAGCAACGCCGCGUGAGUGAUGAAGGUCUUCGGAUCGUAAAACUCUGUUAUUAGGGAAGAACAAAUGUGUAAGUAACUAUGCACGUCUUGACGGUACCUAAUCAGAAAGCCACGGCUAACUACGUG
This 497-nucleotide ribosomal RNA is filed under the name uncultured bacterium. Its description in RNAcentral is "partial 16S ribosomal RNA". It matches the Rfam family "Bacterial small subunit ribosomal RNA", at positions 28 to 507 of the family's 1533-position model. The record is from RNAcentral.